This 469-nucleotide ribosomal RNA is filed under the name uncultured bacterium. RNAcentral's name for it is "partial 16S ribosomal RNA". It matches the Rfam family "Bacterial small subunit ribosomal RNA", at positions 28 to 507 of the family's 1533-position model. The record is from RNAcentral.
GACGAACGCUGGCGGCGUGCUUAACACAUGCAAGUCGAACGGAAAGGCCCUGCUUGCAGGGUGCUCGAGUGGCGAACGGGUGAGUAACACGUGGGUGAUCUGCCCCUUACUUUGGGAUAAGCCUGGGAAACUGGGUCUAAUACUGGAUAGGACCAUGCUGUAGGUGGUGUGGUGGAAAGAUUAGUUUCGGUAAGGGAUGAGCUCGCGGCCUAUCAGCUUGUUGGUGGGGUAAUGGCCUACCAAGGCGUCGACGGGUAGCCGGCCUGAGAGGGUGGACGGCGACAUUGGGACUGAGAUACGGCCCAGACUCCUACGGGAGGCAGCAGUGGGGAAGAUUGCACAAUGGGCGCAAGCCUGAUGCAGCGACGCCGCGUGGGGGAUGACGGCCUUCGGGUUGUAAACUCCUUUCAGCCAUGACGAAGCCCUUGUGGUGACGGUAGUGGUAGAAGAAGCACCGGCUAACUACGUG